This 605-nucleotide ribosomal RNA is filed under the name uncultured Campylobacteraceae bacterium. RNAcentral's name for it is "bacterial SSU rRNA". It matches the Rfam family "Bacterial small subunit ribosomal RNA", at positions 38 to 659 of the family's 1533-position model. The record is from RNAcentral. Lineage: Bacteria; Pseudomonadati; Campylobacterota; Epsilonproteobacteria; Campylobacterales; Campylobacteraceae.
GGCGGCGUGCUACCAUGCAGUCGAACGAGAACGGAUUAAGCUUGCUUUAAUUGUCAGCUAAGUGGCGCACGGGUGAGUAAUAUAUAGUUAACCUGCCUCAAAGAAGGGAAUAAUUGUUGGAAACGACUUGUAACGCCCUAUAUGCCUUUAUCACAUAAGUGAGCAAGGGAAACAUUUAUGGCUUUGAGAUGGGACUGUACGGUAUCAGUUAGUUGGUGAGGUAAUGGCUCACCAAGACAAUGACGCCUAACUGGUUUGAGAGGAUGAUCAGUCACACUGGAACUGAGACACGGUCCAGACUCCUACGGGAGGCAGCAGUGGGGAAUAUUGCACAAUGGAGGAAACUCUGAUGCAGCAACGCCGCGUGGAGGAUGACACAUUUCGGUGCGUAAACUCCUUUUAUAUAAGAAGAUAAUGACGGUAUUAUAUGAAUAAGCACCGGCUAACUCCGUGCCAGCAGCCGCGGUAAUACGGGGGGUGCAAGCGUUACUCGGAAUCACUGGGCGUAAAGAGCAUGUAGGCUGGUAAAUAAGUUGGAAGUGAAAUCCUAUGGCUUAACCAUAGAACUGCUUCCAAAACUGUUUACCUAGAGUAUGGGAGAGGUA